GUGCUUAACACACGCAAGUCGAACGGGUGUAGCAAUACAUCCGUGGCGAACGGGUGCGUAACACGUGGAUAACCUUCCUUCAGGUGGGGAAUAACCCAGUGAAAAUUGGGCUAAUACCGCAUAACAAGACCGGGGCUCAUGCUCUGGCCUUCAAAGCCGCAAGGCGCCAGAAGAGGGAUCCGCGGCCGAUUAGCUUGUUGGCGGGGUAACGGCCCACCAAGGCUUUGAUCGGUAGCCGGAUUGAGAGGUUGACCGGCCACACUGGAACUGAGACACGGUCCAG
RNAcentral lists this ribosomal RNA (283 nucleotides) under uncultured bacterium. Its description in RNAcentral is "partial 16S ribosomal RNA". It matches the Rfam family "Bacterial small subunit ribosomal RNA", at positions 44 to 334 of the family's 1533-position model. The record is from RNAcentral.